UGCCAGAGGAGAAGGACAUCUCUCACAAGCUGCUGGAGCGCAGACCUGACAGCAACCACUAUAGCGCCUGAGAUCUGGAAGGACUGCCAGAGCUGCCAGUCACCGAGGAAUUGCUGGGGCUGCUCUUAUCCAUUUAUCCCUGUGAGACAGACAAUGACCCAGGGCAGAGCCUCCUGACUGUGCUACCCUGCCGAGUGGCAGAGACCCUGGUGUUAAUUCCCCCCUAAACUGUGCCCUUCCAGAGGACUUGUAGUGAGGCGGCAUGGCCUCUGUCCCAGACAGAUGGAGGGACAACUGUGACCACCUUACAAAGACUCAUUGUGUUCCCAGAAACACUGUUGUAAAGAGCAGCUGUCUUGGAGUGACAGACUGGGCAUGUUGAUGAACCCAAAUGGAAGUGAGGCCAGGAAGUCAAAAAAAAAACCUGUCCCCAGGCUUCUGAAUACAUCCUUACUCAUGGGGUACCGACUGAUGAACACUUCUUUAAUCCAUCUGUAGUUGGCUGUAUUAAUCUAGUGUUGCUUAUUUCAUGGCCUCUCUUUUCCCUUUUAACAUGUGAUGUAUUCGUUAACAAUCCCCCAAACACCCGUAGUCCAGAAAACUGACUGUCUUGGCUACGAGGUUAGCUGCACCCUGUCUUUCUCUGAGUGCACCUCUCAGAUGACCAGUCGCAAGCUCUUGCUUCUCUUGGCAUGGACUCGUGCAGUUCUCGCAUUCUUCACUCAGGACCUGGGUUACAGAUCCCUAUAUACUGGCCAUGAUUACUUCAACAGGCCCAACUUGAGUUCAGUACCUGAAGAUCUGCCCUUUGUGAACUGUGACCAGUGCUAUAUAUAAGGAAUUGUAUAUCAAGGCUAUAUUGCAUGUAGCCUCUAAACAAAUUAGUGUUGAUUCUUAACAGUAGGACCCCACAUAACAUAAAGGAACAAGGAUUUCAAAAUAAUAAAAGUCUAUUUACCCAGAUAUCCCUCCCCCAAUGUUGGCCAGGUAGGUUCAACUGCUUCAGACUCUCUCCAUGGACCCUCUCUCUGAGGCAGCCUGCUCCCCCUGACAACUGACCAGUCUUUCUAGAGAGAGCAACUUUUUAACUGUUUCCUGUCCUUUUGAUCUACAGCUCCCAUCCCUAGUAAAAUAGGUCUUUUUAUUUUGCUGGAGCCAAGGUGGGUAGGCUUGCCCCAAUUAAUAGCCUAGUCAAUGUUCUCUUAACUCCAAAGUGUUUUACCUGGAAUGUCUUAUCUCUAGUCAUUUUCAUUCCGUGCUUUGUUUUUCCUAGCAGCCCCUUUUGACUUAACUCCAUACAGUCAGACAGUAAACAGCCCUUACAGCACUUGGACAAAAUAUAGUAUUCACUAAUUAAUACAGAGCAGUUGCACGUUCUUCUUAUUUACAGUCAGGUUGUUAAUGAAUCCCCCUCCAGUUC
Long non-coding RNA from Mauremys mutica (yellowpond turtle), 1420 nucleotides. RefSeq lists it as uncharacterized. The transcript has 3 exons. The record is from RefSeq and is a predicted model, not a curated record. Lineage: Eukaryota; Metazoa; Chordata; Testudines; Geoemydidae.